GGUUGAUGCAAAAGUAAUUGUGGUUUUUAUCAUUACUUUUAAUGGGAAAAACUGUAAUUACUUUUGUACCAAUC
Molecule: microRNA precursor, 74 nt
Filed under: Callithrix jacchus (white-tufted-ear marmoset)
Lineage: Eukaryota; Metazoa; Chordata; Mammalia; Primates; Cebidae
Description: microRNA cja-mir-548q precursor (cja-mir-548q-1)
Gene: cja-mir-548q-1
Source: miRBase by way of RNAcentral